UGUCCCAUGGCUUAGUUGGUUACGGCGUCCGACUGUUAUAUCUCUCAUCGGAAGAUCGAGAGUUCAAGUCUCUCUGGGACAG
This is a non-coding RNA of Termitomyces sp. T159_Od127, 82 nucleotides long. NCBI's taxonomy places the organism in Eukaryota, Fungi, Basidiomycota, Agaricomycetes, Agaricales, Lyophyllaceae. The record is from the annotation of a GenBank genome assembly.